CGAGUGAAGCGGCAAGAGCUCAAAUUUGAAAGCUGGCUCCUUCGGGGUCCGCAUUGUAAUUUGUAGAGGAUGCUUCGGGAGCGGUCCCCAUCUAAGUGCCCUGGAACGGGACGUCAUAGAGGGUGAGAAUCCCGUAUGGGAUGGGGUGUCCGCGCCCGUGUGAAGCUCCUUCGACGAGUCGAGUUGUUUGGGAAUGCAGCUCUAAAUGGGUGGUAAAUUUCAUCUAAAGCUAAAUAUUGGCCGGAGACCGAUAGCGCACAAGUAGAGUGAUCGAAAGAUGAAAAGCACUUUGAAAAGAGAGUUAAAAAGCACGUGAAAUUGUUGAAAGGGAAGCGCUUGCGAUCAGACUCGCUCGCGGGGUUCAGCCGGCAUUCGUGCCGGUGUAUUUCCCCGCGGGCGGGCCAGCGUCGGUUUGGGCGGUCGGUCAAAGGCCCUCGGAAGGUAACGCCCCUAGGGGCGUCUUAUAGCCGAGGGUGCAAUGCGACCUGCCUAGACCGAGGAACGCGCUUCGGCUCGGACGCUGGCAUAAUGGUCGUAAGCGACCCGUCUUGAAACACGGACCAAGGAGUCUAACAUCUACGCGAGUGUUCGGGUGUCAAACCCGUGCGCGAAGUGAAAGCGAACGGAGGUGGGAACCCUUACGGGUGCACCAUCGACCGAUCCUGAAGUCUUCGGAUGGAUUUGAGUAAGAGCGUAGCUGUUGGGACCCGAAAGAUGGUGAACUAUGCCUGAAUAGGGCGAAGCCAGAGGAAACUCUGGUGGAGGCUCGUAGCGGUUCUGACGUGCAAAUCGAUCGUCGAAUUUGGGUAUAGGGGCG
RNAcentral lists this ribosomal RNA (817 nucleotides) under Penicillium sp. 797_3_Z01. Its description in RNAcentral is "eukaryotic LSU rRNA". It matches the Rfam family "Eukaryotic large subunit ribosomal RNA", at positions 90 to 925 of the family's 3401-position model. Lineage: Eukaryota; Fungi; Ascomycota; Eurotiomycetes; Eurotiales; Aspergillaceae. The record is from RNAcentral.